AUGGCGCGCACCGUUGGCUGCCUGUGGCUGCUCCUCUCGUGCUGGUGCGGCCUCGCCGUCGCGGCGCGGCCGGCGGCGCUGUCGGCCGCCGCUGGCACGGGCGGCGGCAACAACGCGAGCUUCGUGAGGGCGUGGUGCGCGGGGACGGAGUACCCGGCGCUGUGCGACGCGACUCUCUCGCCGUACGCGGCCGCGGUGGGGGACAGCCCGGCGAGGCUGGCGUGCGCCGCGCUGAACGUGACGCUCGCCGGCGUGCGGAACGCGACGGCGGCCAUGAGGGGCAUGGUGGCCGGACGCCUGCCGCCCGUGGCGGCGGAGGCGGCGGGGGACUGCGUGAGCAUGCUCGGGGACGCCGUAGGCAUGCUGAGGCAGUCGGUGGAGGCCAUGGCGCAGGUCGGGGCCGAGGCGGAGCAGGGCCACUCGCAGGAGAGGACGGUGAGGUUCCAGGUGGACAGCGUGCGGACGUGGGCCAGCGCGGCGCUCACCGACGGCGACAUGUGCAUGGAAGGGUUCAGGGGCGAGGCUGCCGGCGGCGGCGGCGUGAGGGAGGCCGUGCGCGGCCACGUCGCGGGCCUCCUGCACCUCACGGCCAACGCGCUUUGCAUCGUCGGCGCCAUGGCCAACGAAACGGCGCCGCCAUAG
Molecule: ribosomal RNA, 642 nt
Filed under: Triticum aestivum (bread wheat)
Lineage: Eukaryota; Viridiplantae; Streptophyta; Magnoliopsida; Poales; Poaceae
Description: partial small subunit ribosomal RNA
Source: RNAcentral